RNAcentral lists this ribosomal RNA (492 nucleotides) under uncultured bacterium. RNAcentral describes it as "partial 16S ribosomal RNA". It matches the Rfam family "Bacterial small subunit ribosomal RNA", at positions 29 to 507 of the family's 1533-position model. The record is from RNAcentral.
AGUGAACGCUGGCGGUAGGCCUAACACAUGCAAGUCGAACGGCAGCACAGUAAGAGCUUGCUCCUACGGGUGGCGAGUGGCGGACGGGUGAGGAAUACAUCGGAAUCUGCUUUUUCGUGGGGGAUAACGUAGGGAAACUUACGCUAAUACCGCAUACGACCUACGGGUGAAAGCAGGGGAUCUUCGGACCUUGCGCGAUUGAAUGAGCCGAUGUCGGAUUAGCUAGUUGGCGGGGUAAAGGCCCACCAAGGCGACGAUCCGUAGCUGGUCUGAGAGGAUGAUCAGCCACACUGGAACUGAGACACGGUCCAGACUCCUACGGGAGGCAGCAGUGGGGAAUAUUGGACAAUGGGCGCAAGCCUGAUCCAGCCAUACCGCGUGGGUGAAGAAGGCCUUCGGGUUGUAAAGCCCUUUUGUUGGGAAAGAAAAGCAGCAGGUUAAUACCCCGCUGUUCUGACGGUACCCAAAGAAUAAGCACCGGCUAACUUCGUG